Molecule: ribosomal RNA, 836 nt
Filed under: Enterococcus faecalis
Lineage: Bacteria; Bacillati; Bacillota; Bacilli; Lactobacillales; Enterococcaceae
Description: bacterial SSU rRNA
Rfam family: Bacterial small subunit ribosomal RNA
Source: RNAcentral
UCUUUCCUCCCGAGUGCUUGCACUCAAUUGGAAAGAGGAGUGGCGGACGGGUGAGUAACACGUGGGUAACCUACCCAUCAGAGGGGGAUAACACUUGGAAACAGGUGCUAAUACCGCAUAACAGUUUAUGCCGCAUGGCAUAAGAGUGAAAGGCGCUUUCGGGUGUCGCUGAUGGAUGGACCCGCGGUGCAUUAGCUAGUUGGUGAGGUAACGGCUCACCAAGGCCACGAUGCAUAGCCGACCUGAGAGGGUGAUCGGCCACACUGGGACUGAGACACGGCCCAGACUCCUACGGGAGGCAGCAGUAGGGAAUCUUCGGCAAUGGACGAAAGUCUGACCGAGCAACGCCGCGUGAGUGAAGAAGGUUUUCGGAUCGUAAAACUCUGUUGUUAGAGAAGAACAAGGACGUUAGUAACUGAACGUCCCCUGACGGUAUCUAACCAGAAAGCCACGGCUAACUACGUGCCAGCAGCCGCGGUAAUACGUAGGUGGCAAGCGUUGUCCGGAUUUAUUGGGCGUAAAGCGAGCGCAGGCGGUUUCUUAAGUCUGAUGUGAAAGCCCCCGGCUCAACCGGGGAGGGUCAUUGGAAACUGGGAGACUUGAGUGCAGAAGAGGAGAGUGGAAUUCCAUGUGUAGCGGUGAAAUGCGUAGAUAUAUGGAGGAACACCAGUGGCGAGGCGGCUCUCUGGUCUGUAACUGACGCUGAGGCUCGAAAGCGUGGGGAGCAAACAGGAUUAGAUACCCUGGUAGUCCACGCCGUAAACGAUGAGUGCUAAGUGUUGGAGGGUUUCCGCCCUUCAGUGCUGCAGCAAACGCAUUAAGCACUCCGCCUGGGG